GGACAGAGGUGGCCUCAGAGUUCUGAAAAAGAGAGAAAUUGUUUUCCUUCCUCCUCUGAGAGAGAACGUGAUCAGCUCCAGGGAGAGGAAGAGAGAGAGAAAAGAUUGGAAGCAGCAACAUCUCUCAGAUUUAUAACUUGCCUACCGAGAUUUCAUGGCCAAGAAGUGCUCUGAGUGGCAUCCCUAAAUUUCAUCACCCCGGAACAAAACUCAGUUUACUCAUCUUGUCAUUGUUGGGGUGCAGGCAUCCUGAUAGACCAAAGCAUUCCAUUCUUCUGUCUACCAGAUUCCCUAUUCCACAUUGCUCAAGGGAGAUGACACAUGGGCUGCUAUCAUCUUAGGACUGCGCCUGUGGGGAGGAGAUACAGGCCUUGUAGUUGGCCUUUCUCAUUGUCCAUCCCACUGCCGUGACUUCUGAUCAAGCCCACCCUCUUCAUAAAAGAAAAAUGCAGCUGUGCAGAAUGUCCUCAUUGAAGAAAGACAUGUCAGCAUGAAAUUGACUUAUCUUGAAGGCAGUAGAAUGUGACUCUGUCAGCCUCAAGAAUUCCAGGCACGGACCUUUUUUGUUUUUCAAAUGUUUUGUUUUGUAUCUUUGUCUCUAGAAGAGGGAAAGGGAGAGCUGUAUCCUGUUUGACACCACCCAUCGCUAAAACAAGAUAAUAUCUCUAGAGCACUUAGCACAGUGCCUGGCACACGGAAACUGACCACUUCUUCGACUAAAAUGUGAAGACAGAUUCUCUCUCCUAGUUCUGAUUCGGUAGCCAAGGGAGAAACUCAGACCUUUGCUGAAGAUGAGAAGACUGAGACUCAAGCUGACACAACUAAGAAGUAUGUGAGUUGGAUUGGAGCCCACAUCUUCCAGCAAUAUGGCGAUGCAUUUGUGAGCUGCAUCUCAUCCACACCUAACCAGCCUAGAAUUUCCCCGGUCUGCCAGAGGGCCACUGAACAAGAAGCAUCUUCGAGCUCCACGCGCCUUCUCAAGCCCAACAUCCCCACCUCUAGGCUAGGCUCUCGGCCUUCAGUCUAGCCCCAAAUCACACUGAGUUCUGAAGGAGAGGGACAGAUUCAAUUUGCUGUUUCCUUAUUCCUUUGAACUGUCCUCCACUAUUCAAUGCCAAGUCAAAAGUUUUCUGGCAUGUUUCCCACUGGAGAAAAUAACUGAUCUUUUUUUCUCAUUAGCAAAAGCGUCAGACACUGUCAGUUGUAUUGGUCUGUACAAAGAGAGUUUUGUGGUUGGGGCAGGGCGGAACGGGUGGGGGGGAGAAUGCCAGUUUGGAGGAGGGCAUUAUCUUGUUUCUCCCACCAUCCACUCCUCGCCAUUUACUGCCACCAUCUUCUCUAGGCUAUUAGAUUCCUUACUCCCAGAAGGCAGAUGUUGAGUUUGCUGUGUCUUAUUGGAAGCACAGGGGACAUUUUUAUGAGUUAUGUAACUCGUGAAUAAUAUGAUUUUUAUCCUUGAGUAACAAUUAAAUCUUCAUUUACAAGAGAACCUUUUGUUUCAGGGGGAAGAGCAUUGCCUAAUCAGAUAAACAUGAAAGGCAUCUCUCCAGAAGCAGUUCAACAUUUUCCUAAUUCUAGGCAAACUUUUAAAGUUAGGAUAAGCAUGGAGAAGAAAUAAUGCUGAAUAAGGAUAGACAAGGGAAUGGAUAUGCUAGCCUGAACUUCCACUUUUUAAUGGGAGAAAGCCAAGCAGUUCAGGAGGCAUAGCUGGUCCAUAUUCUCUCUCUCUCUCUCUCUCUCUCUCUCUCUCUCUCUCUCUCUCUCUCUCUCUGU
This is a long non-coding RNA of Phascolarctos cinereus (koala), 1773 nucleotides long. RefSeq lists it as uncharacterized. Lineage: Eukaryota; Metazoa; Chordata; Mammalia; Diprotodontia; Phascolarctidae. The record is from RefSeq and is a predicted model, not a curated record.